GUUCGCAUUUGAUGUUAAUGUAUUCAAGAAAGAUCGUGAUGUAUUUGAACGGUGUAUCGGCUUGAUCGUUGUUAACCGUACGAUUAAUUAUGCAGGAUAGUUUGCAUCUUUUAAUUAUUGGAUAUGUCAAGAAAAUAUAGAAUUCAUUGGAAUGUGAUGCCAUGGGAUUACGGAGAUAGUUUCUUCUCGCGUAUAUCUACUUUAAUGAAACAGACGUUUCAUUAAAGAAAUAAAAUAAAAAAAAAAAAGAAAAAGAGAGGAGGAGAUUCGAUCGUACCACAAUAAAUAGGGACUCCAGACUGUUGCACGAGCCCGGGGCAUUUUUAUAUAAAACGUAUGAUAAUAAUUAUUGGCAUUCGUGCAUGGAAAAACAUAUACCAUAUAGGUUUGAGAUACGUCACGUUCGAUUCUUUUAAAUUGCCCGAUGAACGUUCACGGACGAAUUAAUUAACGUUGCCGUUGGCAGGUUGUUUCCGAACGACGUGAUUUGUAUUUGAUAUUAAUCGAUGCUACUGGAAUUGCCGGAAAUG
Molecule: long non-coding RNA, 530 nt
Filed under: Polistes fuscatus (common paper wasp)
Lineage: Eukaryota; Metazoa; Arthropoda; Insecta; Hymenoptera; Vespidae
Description: uncharacterized LOC122524180, transcript variant X1
Source: RNAcentral